Molecule: ribosomal RNA, 252 nt
Filed under: uncultured bacterium
Lineage: Bacteria
Description: partial 16S ribosomal RNA
Rfam family: Bacterial small subunit ribosomal RNA
Source: RNAcentral
UACGUAGGGGGCAAGCGUUGUCCGGAUUCAUUGGGCGUAAAGAGCGUGUAGGCGGCCAGGUAGGUCGGUUGUGAAAACUGGAGGCUCAACCUUCAGAGGUCGACCGAAACCAUCUGGCUAGAGUCCGGGAGAGGAGAGUGGAAUCCUGGUGUAGCGGUGAAAUGCGCAGAUAUCAGGAAGAACACCCGUGGCGAAAGCGGCUCUCUGGAACGGUACUGACGCUGAGACGCGAAAGCGUGGGGAGCAAACAGG